UCGGGGCGUGGCGCAGCCUGGUAGCGCACCUGCUUUGGGAGCAGGGGGUCGGAGGUUCGAAUCCUCUCGCCCCGAU
RNAcentral lists this transfer RNA (76 nucleotides) under uncultured Conexibacteraceae bacterium. RNAcentral's name for it is "tRNA-Pro". It matches the Rfam family "tRNA". From Rfam's summary of the family: Transfer RNA (tRNA) molecules are approximately 80 nucleotides in length. Their secondary structure includes four short double-helical elements and three loops (D, anti-codon, and T loops). Further hydrogen bonds mediate the characteristic L-shaped molecular structure. tRNAs have two regions of fundamental functional importance: the anti-codon, which is responsible for specific mRNA codon recognition, and the 3' end, to which the tRNAs corresponding amino acid is attached (by aminoacyl-tRNA synthetases). tRNAs cope with the degeneracy of the genetic code in two manners: having more than one tRNA (with a specific anti-codon) for a particular amino acid; and 'wobble' base-pairing, i.e. permitting non-standard base-pairing at the 3rd anti-codon position. The record is from RNAcentral. Lineage: Bacteria; Bacillati; Actinomycetota; Thermoleophilia; Solirubrobacterales; Conexibacteraceae.